CUACGGAGGGUGCAAGCGUUGUUCGGAAUCACUGGGCAUAAAGAGCACGUAGGCGGUCUGUUAAGUUAGAUGUGAAAUCCCUCGGCUCAACCGGGGAACUGCAUUUGAUACUGACAGGCUAGAGGGCGGUAGGGGUGAGUGGAACUCCAGGUGGAGCGGUGAAAUGCGUAGAUAUCUGGAGGAACACCUGUGGCGAAAGCGACUCACUGGACCGUCACUGACGCUGAGGUGCGAAAGCUAGGGUAGCGAACGGGAUUAGAAACCCUAGUAGUCC
RNAcentral lists this ribosomal RNA (274 nucleotides) under uncultured bacterium. RNAcentral's name for it is "partial 16S ribosomal RNA". It matches the Rfam family "Bacterial small subunit ribosomal RNA", at positions 523 to 796 of the family's 1533-position model. The record is from RNAcentral.